CGCACACUCCGUUUCAUCAUUCUAUCAUUUAACCCUCCCGGACUCUUCUCUCAACUCUCGAUAUUGCUGUUCUCAUAUCCUGUGGCUGUAGGGGAAAAAAUUGCCUUGUUAGGAGGAUGUUUCCGCUAUCAAGCAUCAUUCAUGAUUCAUCCUGCCCAUGGCUGUGGGACGGGCAACUGGACUGAAGGCCCCAGGACGAAACAUUGUACUGUGUACCAUGAAAAGCCAUAACAGAUUCCCCAUUAUAUGGCAAAAUGUGCCCUCUGCAAAUAAAGUAAAUCUCCACUCUGGCACAGAUGAAAUCUUUCUACAGUCUGUAUGUAAGACUUAGAGUGUAGAAGAUCACAUCAAGGGUGUGCUGUUUGCUAUCCCCUCGUCUGGCCGCGAGGACACAAUUAGCGAAUACAAUUAGUGUAACAACCAAG
Molecule: small RNA, 425 nt
Filed under: Histoplasma capsulatum
Lineage: Eukaryota; Fungi; Ascomycota; Eurotiomycetes; Onygenales; Ajellomycetaceae
Also listed under: 1 other name
Description: hypothetical RNA
Source: RNAcentral